GGCUAAAGCGAGAAAAAGCUUCCCAUUUCUAGUAUUUUCAAAGAUUAAUCUUGACAAUCUGAAUCAAAUCAUGUGAGGCCUGCGAAUACAUCCAAAAAAAAAAAAAUCUCAAACGUUUAGAUUUCAAAAGGCCUUUGACUAGAUUUCAAAAUUCCAUUUUUUUUGAAAUCUGCCCGCCCAAAAAUGAAAUCCUAGAGUUUCACUCUCUCCUAUAAAUACUCCUUAAAUUCUCAGCUCAGGGGAGGAUUUUUUUUUUUUUUUGUUUCUGAAAACAUCUAAAAAACACUACAUAUCAAAUACAUUCCUGGCACAUUUUAAAACUUUAAGAACCUUUAAUUUCUAGAAUUAUUCUCUCUAUCUCAGUGGAUUUUAGCUGUGGCACAGGUUUCGGAAUUCAUUUGUGUCUAGUUUCAAAUUUAUUCAUAACGGAAAAGAAGGAGGUUUUUUUUUUUUUUUGGAUUCAUGAAAAACUCACUCAUCUAAGAUAGUUAUAUUUUCUAUUAUCUCUCAAAGAAAAAAAAAAAGAACUUUAGCAUUUUUCACUACUCUUACUCUCUGUCCAACUCAAUCUUACUCACAAAGGAGUAGAUCUGAAGAGGACCUCAAAGCCCUUGUUCACUGCACUCGAAAAAGGUCGUUACUGCUCUCCUUUUUGCAUUUUAUCUGUUCCAAGAAUAUUUGUAUGUGGUAGUAGUAUUCUUUUAUCCUAUAAUUAGCAUACUUUGUAGAAAAGUUCAUAUGUUCAGAUCUGGUGUAUAUUAAAAACUGCUAGCAUGUGCUGAAUAUAUGUUUAAAAUGGAACAGAGAUGAUAUUUGCUUCAAUGCCUGAAAAGGACUUGCCAUACUAAUUCUUUUCUUUCGUUUUUAUGCAUGACUAUCGCAUACGGGUCAAAGGGACUCGUCUUCUUCCGCAUUCGAUGUUGGGCUAAAGCCCAACGUAACUUCUCUCGAGUCAGCCCCAUCAGCCCAUCUGCAGCAAUCUAUUAAAAAUUUCGUUGGGCCGAAGCUCAACAGCAAUGGACAGUAGCAGUCCUAAAAUGGGUUGUCAUGGAGCAUCCAAUUAUUGCCGGAGGUUUGAAGACAACCAAAAGAAAUCAGUGGAGAUGAAGUAUUAGAUAUCUUAGAAUUGUAUUAUUAACUGGCAUGUAAUAAAUUUUUAUUAUUGUAAUUAAUUUUAGGAAGAGUUGUGGAAUGAUACAUAAAAGACAUGUUUGUCCUUCAAAUGUUCGUUAGGCCUACUUCUGGCAUAAAGAGGUCCCUUGCAUUAUAGAACGCGAUGUAUUAUGUGCAAAUAAUAUGUUUAUGUGCAAUGAUAUGUCCUUACCGUA
Molecule: long non-coding RNA, 1328 nt
Organism: Lycium barbarum (goji berry)
Lineage: Eukaryota; Viridiplantae; Streptophyta; Magnoliopsida; Solanales; Solanaceae
Exons: 2
Source: RefSeq, a predicted model, not a curated record